CCGCCCGUCACAUCACGAAAGUGGGUUGUACUAGAAGUCUGCAGGCUAACCCGCAAGGGAGGCAGCGGCCCCAAAGGUAUGACUCAUGAUUGGGGUG
This 97-nucleotide ribosomal RNA is filed under the name uncultured bacterium. Its description in RNAcentral is "partial 16S ribosomal RNA". The record is from RNAcentral.